This 94-nucleotide unclassified non-coding RNA is filed under the name Carex capitata. RNAcentral describes it as "partial internal transcriber spacer 2". The record is from RNAcentral. Lineage: Eukaryota; Viridiplantae; Streptophyta; Magnoliopsida; Poales; Cyperaceae.
AGCCCAUCCACGCUCGUCUGCCUCGCGGCAGAGAUGCGGACACUGGCCCUCCGAACCGCGAGGUGCGGUGGGCCUAAGUGUGCGGUCGUCGUGU